Fragaria vesca subsp. vesca is the source of this 467-nucleotide RNA transcript. RefSeq lists it as uncharacterized. The transcript is spliced from 2 exons. NCBI's taxonomy places the organism in Eukaryota, Viridiplantae, Streptophyta, Magnoliopsida, Rosales, Rosaceae. The record is from RefSeq and is a predicted model, not a curated record.
UUACCUGUGCCUCCUGGAGCAAACCAACCUUCAGCACAAGUUCUAAUCACAACUAAACUAGAGUCCCAAACAACGAAAAGGAUGUCGUCGGAGGGAUUCAAUAAUCCGACAGGCAGUGCCACGCCUCCAGAGAUGCUGGAGCAUCCGAUGCCUCAGCCGCUGCACCAGACUUCUGCAGCCCAGAGGAUUACAUUGGGUAAGGCCAGAUAGUCAUGGCUAUGAUGGCGGUUCUACAACUAGUCCUGCCCCCCAACUCUACAUCAGCAACAACCCUAGUGAUCACCUCCAGCAAUUGUCUUUAUCCACUUCAAAGUAUGCCAAGGCUGCCCAAGAAUUGUUGGAAGAGUUUUGCAGUGUGGGAAGGGGUCAAUUCAAGAGGAACAAAUCGGAUCAACAGAAUAGCUCAUUAAAACCUAGUUCCAAUCCAGCUGCUGGCACUAGUGGCGCUGGUGUUACCUUGUCUUCAU